AGCUUUCCUGAGGAAUCAGCUUGUUAACUGAAAACACCUGUUCACGGCGUUUUAAAAGCAGCCAGCAAAAACGUUUUGGCUUCUCAGCAUGCCUUACAAGGAAAGGAAUCAUGACAUUUAAAUUGUUUGGGAACAAAAAACUGAAAAUCCCAACUUAUGUUGUGUUAGCAAAAUUCCAUGAAAGUGAAGAAGGCGAUGUGCAUGAGAGGGCACGCUGGGUCUGUCGUGAGCUGGGGAUACCCAGCACAGCUCACGACAGACUCGUCAAGCUUUUCCGCAAGCACAUGCGCACCGUCUCUACUCCUCCUGAGGCCAGAGCCCCCGUGUAGUCUGAGGUCUGCCGCUUCCAGAU
This is a long non-coding RNA of Etheostoma spectabile (orangethroat darter), 352 nucleotides long. RefSeq lists it as uncharacterized. The transcript is spliced from 4 exons. The record is from RefSeq and is a predicted model, not a curated record. Lineage: Eukaryota; Metazoa; Chordata; Actinopteri; Perciformes; Percidae.